UACGUAGGGUGCGAGCGUUAAUCGGAAUUACUGGGCGUAAAGGGUGCGCAGGCGGUUGAGUAAGACAGAUGUGAAAUCUCCGAGCUUAACUCGGGAAUGGCAUAUGUGACUGCUCGACUAGAGUGUGUCAGAGGGAGGUGGAAUUCCACGUGUAGCAGUGAAAUGCGUAGAUAUGUGGAAGAACACCGAUGGCGAAGGCAGCCUCCUGGGACAUAACUGACGCUCAGGCACGAAAGCGUGGGGAGCAAACAGG
This 253-nucleotide ribosomal RNA is filed under the name Parasutterella excrementihominis YIT 11859. RNAcentral describes it as "partial 16S ribosomal RNA". It matches the Rfam family "Bacterial small subunit ribosomal RNA", at positions 524 to 776 of the family's 1533-position model. Lineage: Bacteria; Pseudomonadati; Pseudomonadota; Betaproteobacteria; Burkholderiales; Sutterellaceae. The record is from RNAcentral.